GCAACAGAUCUGCCUGCGAGAGAGGUAGCAGGGAUUCAAAUAGUAUGUCCCCCUUGGUAUCAUUUUGUACCUUAUCAGCCCCCGUUAACAGAACCGAGCAAUGGGAGCACUGAACAGAGCAGGUCUGUUUCGCGUUUAGGAGACUUGUAUUGGACGCUGUUAUGUUCUUGCCUGGAUUGUGUUACUUUUGAUAUCUUCCUCCCGUAACUGAGCUUCAAUAUUUUCAAGAGACAAGACUCAUCUGAACAAUGGGAGAUAAUAACAGUAAAAAUGGUAGGAAUGAAGAGGCAGCUGAAAGAGAUGUGAGGAGAAAAGCAAAGAUUGAGAAACUGAAAAAAGAGUUGUGUGAUAAGAACACUGCUCUUGAUGUACACUCCUGCCCUCUCAUUUAAG
Lepisosteus oculatus (spotted gar) is the source of this 393-nucleotide non-coding RNA. The record is from RefSeq and is a predicted model, not a curated record. Lineage: Eukaryota; Metazoa; Chordata; Actinopteri; Semionotiformes; Lepisosteidae.